Molecule: ribosomal RNA, 200 nt
Filed under: uncultured bacterium
Lineage: Bacteria
Description: partial 16S ribosomal RNA
Rfam family: Bacterial small subunit ribosomal RNA
Source: RNAcentral
GAUCAACGCUGGCGGCGUGCCUAACGCAUGUAAGUCGAACGCAGCGCCUUCGGGCGCUGAGUGGCGAACGGCUGAGGAACACGUACGAACCUGCCCUCUCGUGGGGAAUAACGCCGCGAAAGCGGUGCUAAGACCGCGUACGCUGGGACCAAUGGUCUCAGGAAAGCCUUCGGGCGCGGGAGGAGGGCGUGGCGGCCCAU